UGGCUCACUGGUAGAGCACAUGCUUAGCAUGCACGAGGUCCUGGGUUUAAUCCCCAG
Molecule: transfer RNA, 57 nt
Filed under: Camelus bactrianus (Bactrian camel)
Lineage: Eukaryota; Metazoa; Chordata; Mammalia; Artiodactyla; Camelidae
Also listed under: 1 other name
Rfam family: tRNA
About the family: Transfer RNA (tRNA) molecules are approximately 80 nucleotides in length.
Source: Rfam by way of RNAcentral